CCCCUAGACGUUCUGGGCUGCACGCGCGCUACAAUAAUACGCACAGCGAGUAUCACCGAGCUCGAAAGGGCAAGGUAAACAAUAGAAAAGGUACUGUAAUGGUUAUAGAUCCUUGUAAUUAUUGAUCUUCAACGAGGAAUUCCUAGUAAGUAUGUGUCAUCAUCACGUACUGAUUACGUCCCUGCCCUUUGUACACACCGCCCGUCGCUCCUACCGAUUGGGUGAGCCGAUGAAACUCUCGGAUGUAGGCUAUUCAUAGCCCGCAGAAGAGAUUUGAAUCGUAGCGCUUAGAGGAAGGAGAAGUCGUAACA
This 311-nucleotide ribosomal RNA is filed under the name uncultured eukaryote. RNAcentral's name for it is "partial 18S ribosomal RNA". It matches the Rfam family "Eukaryotic small subunit ribosomal RNA", at positions 1470 to 1796 of the family's 1831-position model. The record is from RNAcentral.